This 484-nucleotide ribosomal RNA is filed under the name uncultured bacterium. RNAcentral describes it as "partial 16S ribosomal RNA". It matches the Rfam family "Bacterial small subunit ribosomal RNA", at positions 30 to 507 of the family's 1533-position model. The record is from RNAcentral.
AUUGAACGCUGGCGGCAGGCCUAACACAUGCAAGUCGAGCGAAUGAAGGGAGCUUGCUCCUGGAUUCAGCGGCGGACGGGUGAGUAAUGCCUAGGAAUCUGCCUGGUAGUGGGGGAUAACGUCCGGAAACGGGCGCUAAUACCGCAUACGUCCUGAGGGAGAAAGUGGGGGAUCUUCGGACCUCACGCUAUCAGAUGAGCCUAGGUCGGAUUAGCUAGUUGGUGGGGUAAAGGCCUACCAAGGCGACGAUCCGUAACUGGUCUGAGAGGAUGAUCAGUCACACUGGAACUGAGACAAGGUCCAGACUCCUACGGGAGGCAGCAGUGGGGAAUAUUGGACAAUGGGCGAAAGCCUGCUCCAGCCAUGCCGCGUGUGUGAAGAAGGUCUUCGGAUUGUAAAGCACUUUACGUUGGGAGGAAGGGCAGUAAGUUAAUACCUUGCUGUUUUGACGUUACCAACAGAAUAAGCACCGGCUAACUUCGUG